UACGAAGGGGGCUAGCGUUGCUCGGAAUCACUGGGCGUAAAGCGCACGUAGGCGGAUAUUUAAGUCGGGGGUGAAAUCCCGGGGCUCAACCCCGGAACUGCCUUCGAUACUGCGGGUCUCGAGUCCGGGAGAGGUGAGUGGAAUUCCUAGUGUAGAGGUGAAAUUCGUAGAUAUUAGGAAGAACACCAGUGGCGAAGGCGGCUCACUGGCCCGGUACUGACGCUGAGGCGCGAAAGCGUGGGGAGCAAACAGGG
This 254-nucleotide ribosomal RNA is filed under the name uncultured bacterium. RNAcentral describes it as "partial 16S ribosomal RNA". It matches the Rfam family "Bacterial small subunit ribosomal RNA", at positions 524 to 777 of the family's 1533-position model. The record is from RNAcentral.